This 515-nucleotide ribosomal RNA is filed under the name Turbinella rapa. RNAcentral describes it as "partial 16S ribosomal RNA". It matches the Rfam family "Bacterial large subunit ribosomal RNA", at positions 1796 to 2570 of the family's 2925-position model. The record is from RNAcentral. Lineage: Eukaryota; Metazoa; Mollusca; Gastropoda; Neogastropoda; Turbinellidae.
UCGCCUGUUUAUCAAAAACAUGGCUCUAUGUAUAUUGAAGAUAGAGAGUCGGACCUGCCCGGUGAAUUUUUUAACGGCCGCGGUACUCUGACCGUGCAAAGGUAGCAUAAUCAUUUGCCUUAUAAUUGAAGGCUAGAAUGAAUGGUUUGACAAGAAUACAACUGUCUCUUUACAAUUACAUAAAAUUUUAUCUGCAGUUGAAGAAGCCUGCAUUUGAAUAAAAGACAAGAAGACCCUAUCGAGCUUAAAAAAAACUGGUGGAAUAACAAACUUAAUCCUAACUUAUAAAUAAAUAAAUAGUCAACUACUGGAAAUUUUGGUUGGGGCGACCGGGGAACAAAAAAAACUUCCUUUAUAAAAAUUUAGAUGCCCAAAUAUUGAUCCAGCAUUAUAUGAUUAAAGAAAUUAGUUACCGUAGGGGUAACAGCAUUAUCUUUUUUAAGAGUUCUUAUCGAAAAAUCGUUUGUGACCUCGAUGUUGGACCAGAAUAUCCUAAAGAUGCAGCCGUCUUAAGG